Long non-coding RNA from Tupaia belangeri chinensis (Chinese tree shrew), 624 nucleotides. RefSeq lists it as uncharacterized. The transcript is spliced from 2 exons. NCBI's taxonomy places the organism in Eukaryota, Metazoa, Chordata, Mammalia, Scandentia, Tupaiidae. The record is from RefSeq and is a predicted model, not a curated record.
AAGAAGGAAAGAAAGACAGACAGACAGGAAGGAAGAAAUAAAGAGAGAAAGAAACUCAUGUAGCUUUCAAGAGUAAUACAAUCAAUAAAGAAGACAGAAACUUAAGACUGACAGCUGCAGAGACCGUGAAAUUCUCCUGGUUGUUUAAAGGCAGUCCUGAUGGAACAUCAGUUGUCUGUAUCGAUGUGGUUGCUAUAGCCAUGGGUUAACUUUCUGAAGAAUCAAGCUUCUUCGUUUUCAGUUAUUUAAAGACAAAGAUACACAGCCUUACUGGAGAAGAGAACGUGAGGCUUGGAAUACAGUUAAAGACGCCAUGCACUAAUCUCUGUUGAACCCCUGCAAAUUCACAGAAAGAUGGACUGUCGUGGGAAGAUGUGACCAGGGAAGAAUGCACGGUUUUUACGGACAAAUGUUUAUCUAGAUCCAAAUGAGCUCCCCAGGCUUCAGCAUGGCUCCUUGUUUCCUGUUAGAUCUUUCUAAAAAUAUCGUAGCUAGAAAACAUUCAAGGCUAAAUCAAGAGCAAGAAAAUCUCGCCCCUGAGGAAGACGCUGGAAGCUGCACAGAACUAGCAUCAGCUCAGAACUCAUCAUCUCACGCACGGAUUCCUAAGCACAUUUUCGCAUU